CUAACUCCAAAAACACAAGAGUCAAAGGCACAGAUGCCUGUUCUUCAAUCAUUUGAGACAGAGGAGCCACUCUCACAGGCUGUUCGCAGACACAGGAUCCAAGUGCAGGUGUGCUCAGACCACCGAGAUGUCCUGAACCCCCAGCCACAGCUCCC
Molecule: long non-coding RNA, 155 nt
Organism: Sardina pilchardus (European sardine)
Lineage: Eukaryota; Metazoa; Chordata; Actinopteri; Clupeiformes; Clupeidae
Exons: 3
Source: RefSeq, a predicted model, not a curated record